CCUACGAGCGGCAGCAGUGAGGAAUAUUGGUCCAUGGGCUUACGCCUGAACCAGCCAAGUCGCGUGAGGGAAGACUGCCCUAUGGGUUGUAAACCUCUUUUGUCAGGGAGCAAUUGGCGCUACGUGUAGCGUUAUCGAGAGUACCUGAAGAAAAAGCAUCGGCUAACUCCGUCCCAGCAGCCGCGGUAAUACGGGGGAUGCGAGCGUUAUCCGGAUUUAUUGGGUUUAAAGGUUGCGUAGGCGGAAUGCCAAGUCAGCGGUAAAAUCGCGGGGCUCAACCUCGCUCCGCCGUUGAAACUGGCGUUCUUGAGUGGGCGAGAAGUAUGCGGAAUGCGUGGUGUAGCGGUGAAAUGCAUAGAUAUCACGCAGAACUCCGAUUGCGAAGGCAGCAUACCGGCGCCCAACUGACGCUGAAGCACGAAAGCGUGGGUAUCGAACAGGAUUAGAUACCCGAGUAGUC
Molecule: ribosomal RNA, 460 nt
Filed under: uncultured bacterium
Lineage: Bacteria
Description: partial 16S ribosomal RNA
Rfam family: Bacterial small subunit ribosomal RNA
Source: RNAcentral